This 459-nucleotide ribosomal RNA is filed under the name uncultured bacterium. RNAcentral's name for it is "partial 16S ribosomal RNA". It matches the Rfam family "Bacterial small subunit ribosomal RNA", at positions 338 to 795 of the family's 1533-position model. The record is from RNAcentral.
CCUACGGGUGACAGCAGUGAGGAAUAUUGGUCAAUGGGCGUAAGCCUGAACCAGCCAAGUCGCGUGAGGGAUGAAGGUUCUAUGGAUCGUAAACCUCUUUUGUCAGGGAACAAAGGCGGGGACGUGUCCCCGGAUGAGUGUACCUGAAGAAAAAGCAUCGGCUAACUCCGUGCCAGCAGCCGCGGUAAUACGGAGGAUGCGAGCGUUAUCCGGAUUUAUUGGGUUUAAAGGGUGCGCAGGCGGUCUGUUAAGUCAGCGGUCAAAGCCCGGGGCUCAACCCCGGCCCGCCGUUGAAACUGGCAGUCUCGAGUUGGAGAGAAGUAUGCGGAAUGCGCGGUGUAGCGGUGAAAUGCAUAGAUAUCGCGCAGAACUCCGAUUGCGAAGGCAGCAUGCCGGCUCCACACUGACGCUGAGGCACGAAAGCGUGGGUAUCGAACAGGAUUAGAUACCCGUGUAGUC